Molecule: long non-coding RNA, 1585 nt
Organism: Aegilops tauschii subsp. strangulata
Lineage: Eukaryota; Viridiplantae; Streptophyta; Magnoliopsida; Poales; Poaceae
Source: RefSeq, a predicted model, not a curated record
GUUGAAUUUUCAAGGCAAGUUUUUUUUUUAUGGUAAUAGACUUUUAUUCCUCAAAAAAUGGAUAGAUCAUUUACAAGCAAAUGAGAAAUAACGUCAGGGACGGACAUAUCCCAUAAACUAGAAGAUCUAGAGCUAAACAAAAUAAAACGGGGUGGCUAGGUUGAAUUCCAGUGGCCUUGCAUUAUGCAGAAAUUUGACGACAAAUGUCCCAUGGACUUUGUAAUCCUCCCUCCAAGAUUAAAGGACGCGUCUAGUGGGCGGCCGGCUGCCCACUAGUGCAACCGACGGCCGGCUGAAAAAGGAAACCCCUAUUUCCCGCGAAACAGAAAAGGAAGGGCCACCAACCCGGCCGAUCGAGCGGCCACCAACAGAAUCGCAAACCGCCCCACGUGGCCAGCUGUCCCCAGCUCGCACCCACGCCCGCUCGCCCCCACGCCUCAGCCCCUCCCACGCUGCCUUCUUCUUCUUCUGCACGCCAGAAGGAGAUCCAACAGAAUCGCCCCCCAACCCUUCUUCCUCCUCCUACACAGCCGCCAUGGGAGCCCCAAAGUAGAAGAAGGAGCUGCUUCAAAAAAGAAGAUCUAAGGGCAGGGUGGUCAGAGCCAUACCAGGCAUGAACAUCAAAUAGGGAGUGUGUGGCAGCAUCCAAAAAAAGGAAAAAAAAUGCUUGAUCUCAAUGAGUUGCCUCCUGAUCUCAAUGAGCUUCCUCAUGAUACGGAUCAGCAGCAAGCCAGCAUACAACAAGGAAAAUGGACAGAAAAUGGUCGAUCUGUUUACUACACGCAGGCAAGUCAUGAUGGUAACCCUAUGGGCCAUGACAAUGUGGCAGGCCAGUCAUCAGACCGUGGUGCUCCUGUAGUGGUGUCUUUGCAGUCAGAGAGCCAUGCUCUAGAUGACACGGGAACCGAGGCAAAUGUUCCUGGUCCAACCAGGACUGAGCUAGGAGCUAGGGCUGUUGACGGAGCUGUGCAAGGAGAAGAAGGAGAGGAUGAGGUUGGUUCUCAACCUAUGGAACCCUAUGUUGGCAUGAGGUUUGACAGCCUUCAAAUCGCUAAGGAUCACUACAACAGCUACGCGCUACGGAUGGGUUUCUCUAUCAAGAUGAACACAUCUAGACGGAUACCCUGCACCAAUGAAUUGAUAAAACAAUAGUUUUGCUGCAACAAGUUCAAGAAGCCCAAAGCUGAUGAUGGAGGAGCUGAGGCUCCUCCAGUCCUGGACCCUAUUCCAGAUCCAAAAUCUGUUGACAGUGAUGAGGAGAUGGAAGAAGAACCUCCAAUAUUUGCUGAAGAGGAGGCUGGUACUAGUAAGAAGAAGAAGAAGAAGCGCAAACGCGAGACAAUAAAGCAGACUCAGUGCAAAGCGAAAAUGUUGGUGAAGCUGAUAGAUGGGCGAUGGGAGGUGACGCACUUUGUUCGUGACCACAAUCAUCCGCUCGUGAACAAACCUUCAUUGUCCAAAUACUUGAGAUCCCACCAAGGCAUCUCACCUGAUGAAAAGGAGUUUCUGCGCAUCUUGUAUAACUGCAACUUGACUACAGGUGUGGUGUUUUUCUAUAUCCCUUAAAGAAUUAAGUUUUCCUCUA